This 419-nucleotide ribosomal RNA is filed under the name uncultured bacterium. RNAcentral's name for it is "bacterial SSU rRNA". It matches the Rfam family "Bacterial small subunit ribosomal RNA", at positions 335 to 769 of the family's 1533-position model. The record is from RNAcentral.
ACUCCUACGGGAGGCAGCAGUAGGGAAUCUUGCGCAAUGGGCGAAAGCCUGACGCAGCAACGCCGCGUGGGGGAUGAAGGCUCUAGGGUUGUAAACCCCUUUCAGCAGGGACGAAAAUGACGGUACCUGCAGAAGAAGCCCCGGCCAACUACGUGCCAGCAGCCGCGGUAACACGUAGGGGCGAGCGUUGUCCGGAAUUAUUGGGCGUAAAGAGCUCGUAGGCGGUUUGGUAAGUCAGAUGAUGAAAAGCUCAACGGCUCAACCUGCAGAGCAUCUGAUACUGCCCAUGACUAGAGUCCGGUAGAGGAGUGUGGAAUUUCUGGUGUAGCGGUGAAAUGCGCAGAUAUCAGAAGGAACACCAACGGCGAAGGCAGCACUCUGGGCCGGUACUGACGCUGAGGAGCGAAAGCGUGGGGAGC